GAGUUUUGAGGUUAAAAUCGCGUUUGGGGUCCAUUUGGGGGAGCCCCGCCCUUUUCCCGCGGUCACGGCCCGCGUCCGCGGCCUUCAAACGUGGGGGAUGCUCAGGGGACCCGCGGUCCCGCCCCGCGGCCGCGGUUGGUGACCGCGGGUGUCUCUUGAGUCGGGAACAGCUGACCCGCGGUCUUACCCCGCGGCCGCGGGUGGUGACCGCGGGGUACUGGGCGUUUUGCACAGUCCGCUCGUUUUGCUCCGUUCUCCCUCGUCCGGACUCGGAUUUGGUCGCCGUUUGCGCUCACGGAUUCCUCUCGAGACGUACUUCGAUCUCAUGUCUUCAAAAUC
Molecule: long non-coding RNA, 339 nt
Filed under: Salvia miltiorrhiza (redroot sage)
Lineage: Eukaryota; Viridiplantae; Streptophyta; Magnoliopsida; Lamiales; Lamiaceae
Description: long non-coding RNA (SMIL_LNC013277)
Source: RNAcentral